Molecule: unclassified non-coding RNA, 197 nt
Filed under: Ambisporaceae sp.
Lineage: Eukaryota; Fungi; Glomeromycota; Glomeromycetes; Archaeosporales; Ambisporaceae
Description: partial contains 5.8S ribosomal RNA and internal transcribed spacer 2
Rfam family: 5.8S ribosomal RNA (bases 1-71)
Source: RNAcentral
GUGAAUCAUCAAAUUUUUGAACGCAUAUUGCGCUCUCUGGUAUUCCGGAGAGUAUGCCUAUUUGAGAGUCAGUUAAAAUAAUAUAAGUUCCAAUAUGUCUCGAAAUGUGAAAUGUGUGGUUCAUUUUUUGUAGUCACCUAAAAUCCAAUGCAAGCUCAUUUUCGUCUAUUGCGUGAUACUUUCAGGUACCUCUGGAC